UACGUAGGCGGCUUUUUAAGUCGGAUGUGAAAUCCCUGAGCUUAACUUAGGAAUUGCCUUCGAUACUGGGAAGCUAGAGUAUGGGAGAGGAUGGUAGAAUUCCGGGUGUAGCGGUGAAAUGCGUAGAGAUCUGGAGGAAUACCGAUGGCGAAGGCAGCCAUCUGGCCUAAUACUGACGCUGAGGCACGAAAGCGUGGGUAGCAAACAGGAUUAGAUACCCCUGUA
This 225-nucleotide ribosomal RNA is filed under the name uncultured Acinetobacter sp. Its description in RNAcentral is "partial 16S ribosomal RNA". It matches the Rfam family "Bacterial small subunit ribosomal RNA", at positions 568 to 792 of the family's 1533-position model. The record is from RNAcentral. Lineage: Bacteria; Pseudomonadati; Pseudomonadota; Gammaproteobacteria; Moraxellales; Moraxellaceae.